Molecule: ribosomal RNA, 2919 nt
Filed under: marine metagenome
Description: bacterial LSU rRNA
Rfam family: Bacterial large subunit ribosomal RNA
Source: RNAcentral
AGGGCGUUUGGUGGAUGCCUUGGCAGUAAGAGGCGAUGAAGGACGUGAUACUCUGCGAUAAGCCAUGGGGAGCUGAGAAUAAGCUUUGAUCCAUGGAUUUCCGAAUGGGGCAACCCACCUGAUACUUUGUUGUUAUUGCAGCUUUGGUUGCAGCUAACAGCGGGGUUAACCAGGUAUUUCUAGACUGAAUACAUAGGUUUAGAAAAGCAAACCCGGGGAACUGAAACAUCUAAGUACCCGGAGGAAAGGAAAUCAACAGAUACUCCCCUAGUAGCGGCGAGCGAACGGGGACCAGCCGAGCCAUGAGAGUGACAAGAAUAUCCUGGAAAGGAUAGCCAGAGUGGGUGACAGCCCCGUAUUGGAAGCUCAAUUGGACGUAUUAAGUAGGGCGGGACACGUGAAAUCCUGUCUGAACAUCGGAGGACCACCUUCGAAGGCUAAGUACUCCUUACUGACCGAUAGCGAACCAGUACCGUGAGGGAAAGGUGAAAAGCACCCCGAUUAGGGGAGUGAAACAGUACCUGAAACCGAAUGCUUACAAGCAGUUGGAGCCCCAUAGGGGGUGACAGCGUACCUCUUGCAUAAUGGGUCAGUGACUUAAUUUAUCCAGCAAGCUUAAGCCGUAAGGUGUAGGCGUAGCGAAAGCGAGUCUUAAAUGGGCGACCAAGUUGUAUGAAUUAGACCCGAAAACGAAUGAGCUUACCAUGAGCAGGUUGAAAGCAGGGUAACACUUGCCGGAGGACCGAACCAGUUGACGUUGAAAAGUCUUUGGAUGACUUGUGGUAAGGGGUGAAAGGCCAACCAAAUUCGUAGAUAGCUGGUUUUCCGCGAAAACUAUUUAGGUAGUGCGUCGAAUAAAUAGAUGUUUAGAGGUAGAGCACUAAAUGGGCUAGGGGGAAGAGAUUCUUACCAAACCUAAUAAAACUCCGAAUGCUAGACAUUGUUCUUCGGCAGACAGACUGUGGGUGCUAAGGUCCAUGGUCGAGAGGGAAAGAGCCCAGACCACCAGAUAAGGUCCCAAAAUCAUGAUUAAGUGUGAAAGGAUGUGGAAAUUCCUUAACAGCCGGGAGGUUGGCUUAGAAGCAGCCAUCCUUUAAAGAAAGCGUAAUAGCUCACUAGUCGAGUCGGCCUGCGCGGAAGAUGUAACGGGGCUAAGCAAUAUACCGAAGCUGCGGAUUUGAACUUCGGUUCAAGUGGUAGGGGAGCGUUGUGUAAGUGGCUGAAGGUGUUUCGAGAGGAAUGCUGGACAUAUCACAAGUGCGAAUGCUGACAUGAGUAACGAUAAUGGGGGUGAAAAACCCCCACGCCGGAAGACCAAGGUUUCCUGUCCCAUGCUAAUCAGGGCAGGGUAAGUCGGCCCCUAAGGCGAGGCGGAAACGCGUAGUCGAUGGGAAACGGAUUAAUAUUUCCGUACUUGUUAUAUCAGUGAAGGGGGGACGGAGAAGGUUAUGCUAGCUUGGCGUUGGUAGUCCAAGUGAAAGUGCGUAGGGUUGGUGUUUAGGAAAAUCCGGACACCACAUUUAAAAGAUGAGCCUGAGACACGAGACGAGACUCUACGGAGUUGAAGUAGCAAAUACCCUGCUUCCAGGAAAAGCCUCUAAACUUAUGAUAUAGCGAACCGUACCCCAAACCGACACAGGUGGUCAGGUAGAGAAUACUAAGGCGCUUGAGAGAACUCGGGUGAAGGAACUCGGCAAAAUUGUACCGUAACUUCGGGAGAAGGUACGCCCUUGCUUGUGUAGUGCUUCGCGCAUGAAGCAGGUGAGGGCCGCAGUGACCAGGAGGCUGGGACUGUUUAUUAAAAACACAGCACUGUGCUAAAUCGAAAGAUGACGUAUACGGUGUGACACCUGCCCGGUGCCGGAAGGUUAAUUGAUGGGGUUAGCGCAAGCGAAGCUCUUGAUCGAAGCCCCGGUAAACGGCGGCCGUAACUAUAACGGUCCUAAGGUAGCGAAAUUCCUUGUCGGGUAAGUUCCGACCUGCACGAAUGGUGUAACCAUGGCCUCGCUGUCUCCACCCGAGACUCAGUGAAAUUGAAAUUGCAGUGAAGAUGCUGUGUACCCGCACCUAGACGGAAAGACCCCGUGAACCUUUACUAUAGCUUGGCACUGAACAUUGACCCUACAUGUGUAGGAUAGGUGGGAGACUAUGAAGCAUUGUCGCCAGAUGAUGUGGAGUCUACCUUGAAAUACCACCCUUGUACGUUUGAUGUUCUAACAUUGCGCCCUGAUCGGGCGUGUGGACAGUGUCUGGUGGGUAGUUUGACUGGGGCGGUCUCCUCCCAAAGCGUAACGGAGGAGCACGAAGGUUGGCUAAUCCUGGUCGGACAUCAGGAGGUUAGUGCAAUGGCAUAAGCCAGCUUAACUGCGAGACAGACACGUCGAGCAGGUACGAAAGUAGGUCAUAGUGAUCCGGUGGUUCUGAAUGGAAGGGCCAUCGCUCAACGGAUAAAAGGUACUCCGGGGAUAACAGGCUGAUACCGCCCAAGAGUUCAUAUCGACGGCGGUGUUUGGCACCUCGAUGUCGGCUCAUCACAUCCUGGGGCUGAAGUCGGUCCCAAGGGUAUGGCUGUUCGCCAUUUAAAGAGGUACGUGAGCUGGGUUUAAAACGUCGUGAGACAGUUUGGUCCCUAUCUUCCGUGGGCGCUGCAGAUUUGAGGAAGCCUGCUCCUAGUACGAGAGGACCGGAGUGGACGCACCUCUGGUGUACCGGUUGUCACGCCAGUGGCAUUGCCGGGUAGCUAAGUGCGGAAGAGAUAACCGCUGAAAGCAUCUAAGCGGGAAACUCGUUCCAAGAUGAGAUCUGCCGGGGCCUUGAGCCCCCUAAAGAGUCGUUCAAGACCAGGACGUUGAUAGGCUGGGUGUGGAAGCGCAGCAAUGCGUUAAGCUAACCAGUACUAAUUGCUCGUGAGGCUUGACC